Molecule: ribosomal RNA, 253 nt
Filed under: uncultured bacterium
Lineage: Bacteria
Description: partial 16S ribosomal RNA
Rfam family: Bacterial small subunit ribosomal RNA
Source: RNAcentral
UACAGAGGGUGCGAGCGUUAAUCGGAAUUACUGGGCGUAAAGUGUGCGCAGGCGGCCGCGCAAGUCGAGUGUGAAAUCCCCGAGCUUAACUUGGGAAUUGCGCUCGAAACUACGUGGCUGGAGUGUGGCAGAGGAAGGUGGAAUUCCACGUGUAGCGGUGAAAUGCGUAGAGAUGUGGAGGAACACCGAUGGCGAAGGCAGCCUUCUGGGCCAACACUGACGCUCAUGCACGAAAGCGUGGGGAGCAAACAGG